GAUGAACGCUAGCGGGAGGCUUAACACAUGCAAGUCGAGGGGCAUCACGAGGUAGCAAUACUUUGGUGGCGACCGGCGCACGGGUGAGUAACACGUAUGCAACCUACCCUGUACAGGGGGAUAACCCGGAGAAAUUCGGACUAAUACCCCAUAAAGAUAUAACUGGGCAUCCAGGGAUAUUUAAAGCUUCGGCGGUACGGGAUGGGCAUGCGCAACAUUAGCUAGUUGGGAGGGUAACGGCCUACCAAGGCAACGAUGUUUAGGGGACCUGAGAGGGUGAUCCCCCACACUGGUACUGAGACACGGACCAGACUCCUACGGGAGGCAGCAGUGAGGAAUAUUGGUCAAUGGGCGAAAGCCUGAACCAGCCAUCCCGCGUGCAGGAAGACGGCCCUAUGGGUUGUAAACUGCUUUUCCAGGGGGUGAAU
RNAcentral lists this ribosomal RNA (428 nucleotides) under uncultured bacterium. Its description in RNAcentral is "bacterial SSU rRNA". It matches the Rfam family "Bacterial small subunit ribosomal RNA", at positions 28 to 450 of the family's 1533-position model. The record is from RNAcentral.